Molecule: ribosomal RNA, 377 nt
Filed under: uncultured bacterium
Lineage: Bacteria
Description: bacterial SSU rRNA
Rfam family: Bacterial small subunit ribosomal RNA
Source: RNAcentral
AUUGAACGCUGGCGGCAUGCCUAACACAUGCAAGUCGAACGGGGCGCUUCGGCGCCUAGUGGCGGACGGGUGAGUAAAGCGUAGGAAUCUGCCUUGCAGUGGGGGGACAACCUGGGGAAACUCAGGCUAAUACCGCAUACGCUCGCGAGAGGAAAGCGGGGGAUCUUCGGACCUCGCGCCGCAAGAAGAGCCUACGUCCGAUUAGCUAGUUGGUAGGGUAAAAGCCUACCAAGGCGACGAUCGGUAGCUGGUCUGAGAGGAUGAUCAGCCACACUGGGACUGAGACACGGCCCAGACUCCUACGGGAGGCAGCAGUGGGAAUUUUGGACAAUGGGGGCAACCCUGAUCCAGCCAUGCGCGUGAGUGAAGAAGGCCUU